ACACUCCUUCUCCUCUUGAAGAACAUGAGAAAUGGGUACCCUAAGGCCACAAUUAGGUGGUGGAAAAGCCUUUUCUUUUCCAGGCUGAACAAACCCACAUCCCAGCAAAGCACCACAAACCAUGUUAUCACUUCCUUGUGCCCACCUAAGUGAGGAGCCACAGAGCUUUAGGCCUAACACAGCACUCCCACCCUACAGGUGCCAUCUCUUCCUUGCAAAGACAACUGGAGAUCCAAGAAUCUGAGCUUCGGAGAUUCAGAUACGAAAACGAAAUGCUUCAGAAGCAGCUCAGAGAGCAAGAGGACCAGCUCCAAGCCAUGUCUGACAAGUUUUGCAGCCUUACAGAGGAACAGAGGAAGGAAGAAGUGAUGGUGAUGAUAGAGGAGGAGAACCACAGCCUUCGACAGGUUGUUACAGAACAGGAAUCCCAGCUGGCUAAGCAGAACGAGCAGAUCAGUGAGUUAGAG
This is a long non-coding RNA of Myiozetetes cayanensis, 467 nucleotides long. RefSeq lists it as uncharacterized. Lineage: Eukaryota; Metazoa; Chordata; Aves; Passeriformes; Tyrannidae. The transcript is spliced from 3 exons. The record is from RefSeq and is a predicted model, not a curated record.